RNAcentral lists this long non-coding RNA (792 nucleotides) under Rattus norvegicus (Norway rat). Its description in RNAcentral is "long non-coding RNA NONRATT028651". The record is from RNAcentral. Lineage: Eukaryota; Metazoa; Chordata; Mammalia; Rodentia; Muridae.
GUUUCAAGUAAGAGUCUUCUUUUCUUGUUGGUAUAAAACUAUUGUCCCUUUUGGUCUCCCUUCCUCGUUGGCUUAUUCCAAAGAAGAAGUGAUAUUCCAAAGCAAACCACUAAGAUAUGAGAUCUAAAGAUGUGCCUGAAGAAAACAACAGAAGAACCAACAUCUUUGUCUCAUAGCCAUAGUGAGAGGCAUCUGACUGGAAGUGGAUCGUUACCUAACUCCAUUUAUGGCCUUCGAUUUAUAAAAAUAAGGUGUUCUCUGGUGCAAAGGCUUUCCUGUCUGCAAAUAAUACAGAUGCCUUUACCUCAUCUUUAUCUAUUUCCUGGAAUGCUUUAAGAACAUGGAACUUCAUUAAAAUAAAUGCCUGUGGGCUGGGAAAUAACUUUGAGGAAGAGCGCCUGGUGUGCUGUGCAGGAAGCCUUGAACUCAAUUCCAACCUGCAGUAAAUUUAACACAACAACCCCCUUGCUGGCAUGUGGCGCAUCUCUUGUUUCCCUCAGUGAAUAGGUGACUCAGGUCUAAGUGUAAUGGCUUCCCUUUGCUGUGUCCUUUACAGGUACAUAGUCCCUCCCUUUAUCUCACAUGCUUUGGUUCUAAAACUCACAGUUGAUAACUAACCAAGAUUAGCUGUUAUUUCAGACAUGUUUCUACUUUUGAUAGCUAUAGCUUUUACACUAAUCUGGCAUAAUUGUUUUCAGUUAUGUCGUGGUAAUCUCCAUACUGUCGAUGAUCUGAAACACAGAGGCAGUUUAUUUUUUAAAAAUAAAGAAAGAAAAAAGUCACCUUUCUCAA